GAUGAACGCUGGCGGCGUGCCUAAUACAUGCAAGUCGAGCGAACAGAUGAGGAGCUUGCUCCUCUGACGUUAGCGGCGGACGGGUGAGUAACACGUGGAUAACCUACCUAUAAGACUGGGAUAACUUCGGGAAACCGGAGCUAAUACCGGAUAAUAUAUUGAACCGCAUGGUUCAAUAGUGAAAGACGGUUUUGCUGUCACUUAUAGAUGGAUCCGCGCCGCAUUAGCUAGUUGGUAAGGUAACGGCUUACCAAGGCAACGAUGCGUAGCCGACCUGAGAGGGUGAUCAUCCACACUGGAACUGAGACACGGUCCAGACUCCUACGGGAGGCAGCAGUAGGGAAUCUUCCGCAAUGGGCGAAAGCCUGACGGAGCAACGCCGCGUGAGUGAUGAAGGUCUUCGGAUCGUAAAACUCUGUUAUUAGGGAAGAACAAAUGUGUAAGUAACUAUGCACGUCUUGACGGUACCUAAUCAGAAAGCCACGGCUAACUACGUG
This 497-nucleotide ribosomal RNA is filed under the name uncultured bacterium. RNAcentral describes it as "partial 16S ribosomal RNA". It matches the Rfam family "Bacterial small subunit ribosomal RNA", at positions 28 to 507 of the family's 1533-position model. The record is from RNAcentral.